RNAcentral lists this ribosomal RNA (370 nucleotides) under uncultured prokaryote. RNAcentral's name for it is "bacterial SSU rRNA". It matches the Rfam family "Bacterial small subunit ribosomal RNA", at positions 524 to 896 of the family's 1533-position model. The record is from RNAcentral.
UACAGAGGGUGCGAGCGUUAUCCGGAAUCACUGGGUUUAAAGGGUACGUAGGCGGUCUAAUAAGUCAGUGGUGAAAGGCCAUCGCUCAACGAUGGGACUGCCAUUGAUACUGUUAGACUUGAAUUAAGAUGAGGCAGGCGGAAUGCGUCAUGUAGCGGUGAAAUGCAUAGAUAUGACGUGGAACACCAAUUGCGAAGGCAGCUUGCUGGGCUUAUAUUGACGCUGAGGUACGAAAGCGUGGGUAGCAAACAGGAUUAGAUACCCUGGUAGUCCACGCCCUAAACGAUGCUUACUGGGUUUGCGGCGGAAUAGUUGCGAGCCUGAGGGAAACCAUUAAGUAAGCCACCUGGGAAGUACGCCGGCAACGGUG